This 440-nucleotide ribosomal RNA is filed under the name uncultured bacterium. Its description in RNAcentral is "bacterial SSU rRNA". It matches the Rfam family "Bacterial small subunit ribosomal RNA", at positions 29 to 483 of the family's 1533-position model. The record is from RNAcentral.
ACGAACGCUGGCGGCGUGCUUAACACAUGCAAGUCGAACGGAAAGGCCCUGCUUGCAGGGUACUCGAGUGGCGAACGGGUGAGUAACACGUGGGUGAUCUGCCCUGCACUUCGGGAUAAGCCUGGGAAACUGGGUCUAAUACCGGAUAGGAGCCAUUUUUAGUGUGAUGGUUGGAAAGUUUUUUCGGUGUAGGAUGAGCUCGCGGCCUAUCAGCUUGUUGGUGGGGUAAUGGCCUACCAAGGCGGCGACGGGUAGCCGGCCUGAGAGGGUGGACGGCCACAUUGGGACUGAGAUACGGCCCAGACUCCUACGGGAGGCAGCAGUGGGGAAUAUUGCACAAUGGGCGCAAGCCUGAUGCAGCGACGCCGCGUGGGGGAUGACGGCCUUCGGGUUGUAAACUCCUUUCGCUAGGGACGAAGCUUUUUGUGACGGUACCUAGA